GGGCUCGUAGCUUAGCUUGGUUGGAGCGCUCGACUGAUAAAAAAUUAAAUUUUGAAAUCGAGAGGUCCGGAGUUCAAAUCUCCGCGGGCCCA
RNAcentral lists this transfer RNA (92 nucleotides) under Candidatus Mancarchaeum acidiphilum. RNAcentral describes it as "Candidatus Micrarchaeota archaeon Mia14 tRNA". It matches the Rfam family "tRNA". Rfam says of the family: Transfer RNA (tRNA) molecules are approximately 80 nucleotides in length. Lineage: Archaea; Nanobdellati; Microcaldota. The record is from Rfam by way of RNAcentral.